RNAcentral lists this long non-coding RNA (2041 nucleotides) under Vigna radiata. RNAcentral's name for it is "long non-coding RNA (VRAD_LNC013809)". The record is from RNAcentral. Lineage: Eukaryota; Viridiplantae; Streptophyta; Magnoliopsida; Fabales; Fabaceae.
GAAUCUGUUGCAUGCAACUACCCUAGCUUCCUCACAAUUCCCCAAUCAAAUUUGAACUCAAAUUCAUGUUUUCUUUUCCAAUUUACAACCUAUAGGUGUUUCUAGCCUAUUCCAAGUCAUAAACGAGCUGUUGUGGUCUGUUCUUGAGCUGUAGCACUGUCCAGGUAAGGGAAGCUGGAUUCUUUUAGUUUAAUUGUAGAAUGCUAAAUUUAUUUAUUUGAUUGUAUGGAGAAUUAUUUGAAUUGAAAUGCAUGGGUGAAAUUUGUAUGAAUUGAUACGGCUUUUGCUUGAAUGAAUGAAUGCAUGUAUUGAAAAUGAUAUUUUUGAUUUGUGUUUGAUGAGAGUGGAUAAUAGAAGGAUUCUGAAUGGUAGGAUUAGGUGUAGGUUGACAAUGGUAUGGUUUUAGGGAGAUAAUUCAGUUCUGCAGGUUUUCAGUAAAUGACUAAGUCAUUUUUUUUCAGCUUUUGAGUCCAAUUAAGGGAACUUGGGUGGUGAGUUUUAGAAAUAAGGGUUCAACUCUGAAAUAGGUACUUAGGACAACUCAGGGUAGUUAAUUGUGACUUAUAGGAGGUGUACAAUUGAUCUAAAACAACUUAUAAAUGGUAAAUUUCAAAUUGAGCCUCUAGGUAGAUCAAAUGAGUAUUUUAGAUCUAAUUUCCUUGCAUAUCUCUUAGAGUUUUGAGUUAGGAUGGUGUGUGAGACUUCAAAUAAGUUAGAUUCAACUUGUAUUUCGAGUUAGGAGUGUCCAAAGUUCACCAAAAGGCCUAAAAUGAAACUUAGGGGGUAGAGUUGCUCAAUUAUGCAGCAAAAUCUGCAUAAUUCACGCUGGGCGCCCCUAAAUGGCGCUGGGCGUAGUUUUCUGCUGUUGCUUUUGUUUUUGAUAGUUUGGGGGGUUCCGGACGUCCGUUUUGGACGUUCUUUAGGUCGUUCUAGGGGUUUUUGACCCUUGCGGAGCCAUUGGUGAUGGUCUCCAAGCUGUUUGAAUUACUUAAGUAUAUGUAAUUAUAGUUGAUAAAGAAAUUGGUAUUAAUAAAUGAUGUUUUUGUGAAAAUAUAUAAUGUCUGAGUAUGUAUAUGUUGUUUUUGUGACAUAACUAAAGAAUGAUUGUGUUCCAUGUGGUGUAAUAUGAUUCAAUGAUUUAAGUUGUAUCUCGUGGUGAGAUUAUAUUAAGUUUGAGAAUGAAUAUAGGAAGCUCAAUAUUGGGUGUCUCCAUUUAUGGGCCAAGAAUGAGUGAUAUUAAGUUAAGUUUCUAGAAUGAAUAUAGGUAGCUCAGUCUUGGGGGUUGCCCUUAAUACUCUAAUGACUAUUCAAUCUCACUUAGAGAAGAUUAGUUCAUGUGGUGAGAGUAGUAGGGGGUCCUAGUCUUGGUUGUCUCCAUUUUAUAUGGGCCAAGGUGAGUGAUAACGGACUAACCUUGUGGUGGUAGGGUGGAACCCAUAGCAAUUGGCUUUGCAAAGUAGUAGAGACCACCACAAGUACAUAACCCGCCAUAGCUCGAUGUUCAUUCCGGGUUCGGACGAGUCUAAGUCUAACACCACUUAAUAAAACCACAACUCAUAACUUAAUUAAAUUGUUCUUCUAUGCUUGCAAUUCUAGUAUGCCUCUUUUAGUUUGAUAAUCUCCUUGUUAACUUGUUUCCUUUUGAAAUCUAGCUUACCCUUGCUUUGUUUGCUGCCUGUUUUGUAUGUGCUUGUUUUCUCUUGCAAUGAUCAUCCAAAUUGGAUGUGAGCAGAGGCAGGAGAGGCCCCUUUGGAGCAAAUACUAGAUGGCCCAGAUAUCCCAUACACUGCUGAUGCUGCAGAGUAGUGUAGCUUAGUUAUUACUUAUUGUAUAUAACUUAGUCUUCCUUCCUUUUCUUCUUUUUGAAAGACUCUAUUCCUCUUAUAUUUUGGGUGACAGUAUCUUAUAAUACUUCAUCAUACUUCUACUCUUAACUGCUUUACUUUAUUACGUAUGAUGCAUUCCACUCAAUAUGAUUUAUACAUAUUUUUGGGAUGUUAGAUAAACUAUCAUACAUAUUUAUCCUUAAACUAUCAUACGA